RNAcentral lists this ribosomal RNA (252 nucleotides) under uncultured bacterium. RNAcentral's name for it is "partial 16S ribosomal RNA". It matches the Rfam family "Bacterial small subunit ribosomal RNA", at positions 524 to 776 of the family's 1533-position model. The record is from RNAcentral.
GACGAACCGUACGAACGUUAUUCGGAAUCACUGGGCUUAAAGGGUGCGUAGGCUGCGCAGCAAGUUGGGUGUGAAAUCCCUCGGCUUAACCGAGGAACUGCGCCCAAAACUGCUGUGCUCGAGGAGAUAGAGGUGAGCGGAACUUAGGGUGGAGCGGUGAAAUGCGUUGAUAUCCUAAGGAACACCGGUGGCGAAAGCGGCUCACUGGAUCUCUUCUGACGCUGAGGCACGAAAGCUAGGGUAGCGAACGGG